AGCGAACGCUGGCGGCAGGCCUAACACAUGCAAGUCGAACGAACCCUUCGGAGUUAGUGGCGGACGGGUGAGUAACACGUGGGAACGUGCCUUUUGGUUCGGAAUAACUCAGGGAAACUUGUGCUAAUACCGAAUGUGCCCUUCGGGGGAAAGAUUUAUCGCCAUUAGAGCGGCCCGCGUCUGAUUAGCUAGUUGGUUAGGUAACGGCUCACCAAGGGCACCAUUAGUAGCUGGGUUGGGAGGAUGACCAGCCACACUGGGACUGAGACACGGCCCAGACUCCUACGGGAGGCAGCAGUGGGGAAUCUUGCGCAAUGGGCGAAAGCAUGACGCAGCCAUGCCGCGUGAAUGAUGAAGGUCUUAGGAUUGUAAAAUUCUUUCACCGGGGACGAUAAUGACGGUACCCGGAGAAGAAGCCCCGGCUAACUUCGUG
This 433-nucleotide ribosomal RNA is filed under the name uncultured bacterium. Its description in RNAcentral is "partial 16S ribosomal RNA". It matches the Rfam family "Bacterial small subunit ribosomal RNA", at positions 29 to 507 of the family's 1533-position model. The record is from RNAcentral.